AUUGAACGCUGGCGGCAGGCCUAACACAUGCAAGUCGAACGGUAACAGGAAGCAGCUUGCUGCUUUGCUGACGAGUGGCGGACGGGUGAGUAAUGUCUGGGAAACUGCCCGAUGGAGGGGGAUAACUACUGGAAACGGUAGCUAAUACCGCAUAACGUCGCAAGACCAAAGAGGGGGACCUUAGGGCCUCUUGCCAUCGGAUGUGCCCAGAUGGGGUUCGCUAGUAGGUGGGGUAACGGCUCACCUAGGCGACGAUCCCUAGCUGGUCGGAGAGGAUGACCAGCGACACGGGAAGUGAGACACGGUCCGGACGCCGACGGGAGGCAGCAGUGGGGAAUAUUGCACAAUGGGCGCAAGCCUGAUGCAGCCAUGCCGCGUGUAUGAAGAAGGCCUUCGGGUUGUAAAGUACUUUCAGCGGGGAGGAAGGGAGUAAAGUUAAUACCUUUGCUGACUGACGUUACCCGCAGAAGAAGCACCGGCUAACUCCGUG
This 490-nucleotide ribosomal RNA is filed under the name uncultured bacterium. RNAcentral's name for it is "partial 16S ribosomal RNA". It matches the Rfam family "Bacterial small subunit ribosomal RNA", at positions 29 to 507 of the family's 1533-position model. The record is from RNAcentral.